This 253-nucleotide ribosomal RNA is filed under the name uncultured bacterium. RNAcentral's name for it is "partial 16S ribosomal RNA". It matches the Rfam family "Bacterial small subunit ribosomal RNA", at positions 524 to 776 of the family's 1533-position model. The record is from RNAcentral.
UACGUAGGGGGCAAGCGUUGUCCGGAAUCAUUGGGCGUAAAGCGCGUGUAGGCGGCUGGGUAAGUCCGCUUUGAAAGCCCGGGGCUCAACCCCGGGAGGCGGGUGGAUACUGCUCAGCUCGAGUCCGGAAGAGGAGUGUGGAAUUCCUGGUGUAGCGGUGAAAUGCGCAGAUAUCAGGAGGAACACCAAUGGCGAAGGCAGCACUCUGGGACGGUACUGACGCUGAGGUGCGAAAGCGUGGGGAGCAAACAGG